AAGGAUUUGGUUUGAUAAAACAAUAAUAUAAUAUCUAUUCACAUUUGUCUAUAAAACAGUGAAAUAUGAUGUUGGGAUUGAACUUGACUAUUCUUCCUCUAAUGCACUGCCUUUGAUUCACUACAAGUUAUGGUCUAUACUUUAAUGUUCCUAUAAUAUGGUAAUUUUAAACCCAUCCCUGGCAUUUAAAACCUAAGGUUACCAGACUUAUUAUGAUUCCUC
This 222-nucleotide long non-coding RNA is filed under the name Vigna radiata. RNAcentral's name for it is "long non-coding RNA (VRAD_LNC002265)". Lineage: Eukaryota; Viridiplantae; Streptophyta; Magnoliopsida; Fabales; Fabaceae. The record is from RNAcentral.